This 460-nucleotide ribosomal RNA is filed under the name uncultured bacterium. RNAcentral's name for it is "partial 16S ribosomal RNA". It matches the Rfam family "Bacterial small subunit ribosomal RNA", at positions 338 to 795 of the family's 1533-position model. The record is from RNAcentral.
CCUACGGGUGGCAGCAGUGAGGAAUAUUGGUCAAUGGACGCAAGUCUGAACCAGCCAUGCCGCGUGCAGGAUGAAGGCUCUAUGAGUUGUAAACUGCUUUUGUACGAGGGUAAUAUCAGAUACGUGUUUCUGCUUGAAAGUAUCGUACGUACAAGGAUAGGAUAACUCCGUGCCAGCAGCCGCGGUAAUACGGAGGAACCAAGCAUUAUCCGGAUUUAUUGGGUUUAAAGGGUGCGUAGGCGGUUUUAUAAGUUAGAGGUGAAAAUUCGGGGCUAAACUCGGGACGUGCCUCUAAUACUGUCUGACUAGAGAAUAGGUGCGGUAGGCGGAAUGUAUGGUGUAGCGGUGAAAUGCGUAGAGAUCAGACAGAACACCAAUUGCGAAGGCAGCUUACCAAACUAUAUCUGACGUUGAGGCACGAAAGCGUGGGGAGCAAACAGGAUUAGAUACCCGGGUAGUC